This is a long non-coding RNA of Tyto alba (common barn owl), 3401 nucleotides long. RefSeq lists it as uncharacterized. The transcript is spliced from 4 exons. NCBI's taxonomy places the organism in Eukaryota, Metazoa, Chordata, Aves, Strigiformes, Tytonidae. The record is from RefSeq and is a predicted model, not a curated record.
GUACGUGGCUUGUGAAGUGUUUUGAGAUGGGGCCUUCACCCGCCGUGCCGCCGCGGUAGCGCAGCAGCCGCGGGGAGCGCGGCGCUGGCCCGGGCAAACCCGGAGCGGUGCGGGAGCGAGAGGGAACCGGGGACUGGCUCCUCCGCAGUUCAGUGAACGGCACGGGUCUGAGGCUUUGCCCCAGCCUGCUUCGGAAAACCCGGGCGUGUUACAGAGCAUACGGUCAUUUUGCAUAUGAAUUGUGAUAUUCAAUCGACAAGACGUUAGGUAUUGGCUGAGUGUAUCAGCUGGAAGUGACUCAAACUCCUUUUUGCCAUACUUGGAGAAAGAAAAGUGACGGGACCAGACUCUCAGUUCCCGAAAGUUUAGCCUGCUUCAGGAUGAGGAAAAACAAUUAACUUCACAGAACAGAGAUCUUUGGAACCAACAAUGGGGAAAGAGUAUGAAAGCUGACCGCAAUCUCCCCAGUAAGGUUAUGUAUGGAUUUCUGUGAUCAAAUGGCCUCUCUCUCAGAUUCUCUCAGAUGGAAAACGAGCAGUUCACAAUCACCACGGAGAUCUAGGUUGUUUUCUAUGUCUAUUUGAAGGUGCAAUCCAGUUUGAAUAUUACAACUUUCUUGGUCUUCAUAACUCUGUGACAAUGAGCCUCCAAUCAGUGACUGGAAAGUAUUCCCUUUAUACAUUUUUUUAAUUUUCCAUCUUGUAAGUUAAUUGAUUACCUUACUAUGAAUGCCAGAAUCUAAUACUAGUACAUUUUUCCAAUGGUGGAAAUUACCUAACUUGUGCUUGGCAAUGAGGUUCUUUUACAGAAGAACGGGAACAUACUCAUAUAACAGAAAGUCUUACAGAAGUGGGUGAGCCUUUCAGCUUCCAAAUAAUGGUUCUGUCUGUUUGUCCAAGGCAGUAGUGUUUACGAUAUGACACAGGAUUAGAAACUGCCUUCAACUCUAUAAACGUGUACUUGCCAAUAAAACCUAUAAACUGUAUAUUUGGUGUCACUGAGGUCCAGAUUCUUAGCUAGUGUAAGUCGGUGUAGCUGCUCUGACUUCAGUGGAGUCAUGCUGAUUUACACAGCUGAAGACCUGGGCCUUCGCUGUUGGAUCUGGGAGUUUUAACCAAAAAAAGAGAAAAUUUGGUUAAGUUUGUCUUCUCCUUCAGUAAGUCAUGGCUGCCAGAAAUUGUGUUAUGCUUGAGUCAUUGUUACGAUAAAAUUACAAAACAAAAAUUCAGUAAGCUAUUAAAGAAAAUCCAUGGCUGUUACAUUUUAAGUCAAAUAAAAUAAAUAUCCAUGUUGAUGGAUCCACAUGCAGAAUCACAUUAGCUUCAGUGGUGUCUAAGAAAUGAAGUAGUGGUGUCUAAAAUGUUUACUGAAACCUUAACCAUAAUUUUUAUUUCCCCUUCCCACCUGGCUAAAUCCCUGGAUAGAUCAGAUGCUGCAGUGUUGAAUCCCUGAGGAAUACAUAGAAGCAAUUUGUAAUUUUUACAUAGUAACACAGGUAAAAUUUAGAAGAAAGUUUGUCAAACAUAUUGGGAUUUUCCAGUGGAAAGUGAUAGGUAAGAUAAAAGCAUUUCUUGGCUAUUUAGCGCACAAAUAAAUCACAAAGCCACAGACCUUGGGGAGAUGCAUAUUCAAAUGUAUUAUGUUAUCCACUGUAUCACACCUGGUGAUUCAGCUGGACAGCUAUUCAAACUGCACAGUUCAGAUCUUCUUACCUGGAUUCAACAAAAUGUACACCUUUGUAGAAAGGCAGCCUGAGGUUCAUGAUUACUCAAACACCAUUUACUGUUUACAUUUAGUCCUGGUACAAGACACAAAGGUAUAUACGUUACAUGUAGGGUCUGCCCAGAGACCAACAUAAGUCUUUGCAAAUGUUCUGAAUUCCACUGUUACUCGAUAAAUUUCGUUCAAUAGUUUUAUUCAGUCUUUCCAUAUAAGCUUGACCAAGUUUCCUCAUCUGUUGUUCCAGCCUUUCAGCUAGAAGUAAAAUGAAGAUAAUACAGCGUUCAUUCUCCUAGCAUCCUUUCUCUUAGCUUGUGUCACAGCUGGUUAGAGUGCAACUCUUCCAAACAAGAAUUGUCUCUCACCAUGUCUUUGCACGUUGCCUGGUAUAAUGGAGCCUAUGCCUGUGCUGCAGUGCAAAUGAAUAAUAAUUUAUGAUGAUGUUGGAAGAGUGUUGACAGAAACAGAGCUAAUGGCACUAGCAGGGAAUAACUGCACUUAUAGUAAAAAUAACAAUUGUCGGUCACAAACAGCACUUAAUUUCCAGUGUUUAAUCUUUAUUAGCUGGAACUCCCAAUACAAAGAACAUGAUUUUCAGUGGCAAUUUUGGUAGAAUAAGGAUUGCAGAAUUUUUCUGAUUUCAGCAGACUUUGGAGCCAGCUUUAGAGAAAAAAAAUCCACAGAACAAGUGAAAUAAAUAUUGUUGGCAUUUUACAAUAAAAUGGGAGUGCAUUUUAUAGGUGGCUAGCAGCUUGUAAUUACCCUUAGUAAAACUAAUCCUUUCCCUGUGCUUAUUAAAAUGUUUCAUGUAUCAGCAAGCCAUGAAAAGGGCUCACCACCAAUCUCUUAACUUGCACUAAAACUGAGAAACGUCCACUUGAGUCAUAGUUCCCAGUGCCAGUCCUGUUUCUCUGCCUGCUAUUGGAAUUCAAAGCCUCUGAGGGGAUUAAAACUAACACAUUAGUUCCUAAUUAAAUCCAAAAGGGAUGUGAAAUGUAACCAAAUAACUUUAUAGUAUUUAUUGGGAAUAUGGUCUCAGGAGGAUAAGGAAGGAGCAAUGGCUUUCAAUUAAUGAUUUUCCUUCUUCUAACACACAGAAAAUGUCUGCAGUGUUCUUUUGACCCCUUUUAAUUUCUUCAGGGGGAGCAUUUGACUCUUCAAGCUUCCUCCUGCAAAUGUAUUUUUAAAAGUUGCUGCAGGUUUGUAAUAAUUUAGUAGGAUAAAGAAGUACAGUCAUUACUAUUGCAGUCCUUUUUUCUUCAAUUAGUAUUUCUAAUCACAUUAGACAUGUUUUCAGUAUCCAGAGAGGAUGCCUGAUCCCUACAGCUAUCGUGAACCAUUAACUUUAAUUAAAAUUUACAAGUCUAAUGUUGUUACAUCUGCUAAAAGCAUUAACUGCCAUGUUAAUUACCAAAAUGUUAAUGUUGCGUUAAAAUAUGAAUGUUCCCUUUUGACAGUUCAUCUGUGGUUUAAUUAUUUAUUUUUGGUAUAAUAUCUCCUAAAAAAAAAAAAAAAAAGAAAAAGGCAUAAAAGCUUAAAUGCUGACUGAAAUAAUGAGACAUAAUGGGAAAACUUAAUCUAAAUAGAAAACUUAAUACUUUAUAAUAUCAAUUGUUAGCAGAAACUCAUUUGUAUUCUUUGCUGCAUCUAAAAUAAAUACGUGGUGCUUGUGUCUUGGCUAA